UUCUUUUUCAUAAUUUGAAAACUUCUUUUAAUUUUAUCUUUCAAGUGUUGAGCUGGCAUUUGAGGUCCUUCCAAAGAUAUUCAAUAGAAUUAAGAUAAAAAAACUGAGCAAGCCAAUCCAUUACUUUUAUUCUAUGAUAAUCACUUCCAUUCUAGUUUUGAGUUAUAUUUGGAAUUGUUAUCUUGUUGAAAAAUCACCUCUUCUUCAAAAAUGCUAAAUUCUUCAAGGAUAGGAAGUAGGUUUUUUUCAAGAAUUUCUACAAAUUACUUGGAAUUCAUCCUCUUUUCAAACUUUGCCAUCUCCUCAACUUUAUUCUAUUCCAUAUAAUCUUAUAUCAUUAUAUUUCCACUUCCAUGCUUAGUUGUUUUUUGGAUCUUCUUGUCAAGCAAGGACUAAUCUUUUUGUUUCUACACCCAGUUUGUGCAAUCUAAUCCAAAUGUGUUGAUUUUUGUCUCAUGUGACUGUGAUUGUCAUUUUACUUAUUCUGAAAGAAACUUCAUAGAAUAAACCUAUAUAGGGGAAUUUGAACACAUAGAAAGACCAUGUAUAUGAGCUCCAAUUGUUAGGAUCACACAAUUAACUGCUACUACUGAAUGCUUACAAUACCGGAGAACACUUAACUUUUCCUCCU
This 631-nucleotide long non-coding RNA is filed under the name Physcomitrium patens. RNAcentral describes it as "long non-coding RNA (PPAT_LNC011575)". Lineage: Eukaryota; Viridiplantae; Streptophyta; Bryopsida; Funariales; Funariaceae. The record is from RNAcentral.